Molecule: long non-coding RNA, 273 nt
Filed under: Malus domestica (apple)
Lineage: Eukaryota; Viridiplantae; Streptophyta; Magnoliopsida; Rosales; Rosaceae
Description: long non-coding RNA (MDOM_LNC006040)
Source: RNAcentral
CUAAGUAGUAGCAUUCCAUUCAUGAGAUCAUAUCUAAACAUGCUUAAUAACUCCAGAAAAUUGCUUUCUUUAUUAUAACAUAUGUGAGUCUUUCGUGUUUACAUCAAUCUUCUCACAUAUACUAGUGUAGGGUGUGUAGUCAGAAAAUGUGUGUGAAAAUAGAGAGUAUCUUGUAAGGAAUUGAGCAAAUUCUCUAAGGUAUGUUACUACAUUCAAAACAUCGUUUUCAUUGGUUAAUUGUGAACUAGUAAGUGGUUGAUAGGAGCAUAUUUA